CUCGGAAUAGCCUUUCGAAAGAAAGAUUAAUACCCGAUGGCAUAAUGAUUCCGCAUGGUUUCAUUAUUAAAGGAUUCCGGUAAAGGAUGGGGAUGCGUUCCAUUAGGUUGUUGGUGAGGUAACGGCUCACCAAGCCUUCGAUGGAUAGGGGUUCUGAGAGGAAGGUCCCCCACAUUGGAACUGAGACACGGUCCAAACUCCUACGGGAGGCAGCAUG
Molecule: ribosomal RNA, 217 nt
Filed under: uncultured bacterium
Lineage: Bacteria
Description: partial 16S ribosomal RNA
Rfam family: Bacterial small subunit ribosomal RNA
Source: RNAcentral